Molecule: long non-coding RNA, 821 nt
Organism: Dreissena polymorpha
Lineage: Eukaryota; Metazoa; Mollusca; Bivalvia; Myida; Dreissenidae
Exons: 3
Source: RefSeq, a predicted model, not a curated record
UAUGGCGUCUAUCCAAACAUGUGAUCGUAGUGACCAACAAAAAUGGAUUUUACACGGAUGUGAACCAUACAAACGGCAGACAUAGAUUUCGAAAUCGAAAUGGAACCCAAGCGAAGAAUUCCACGCAUAUUAAGACACCAGUCUGACGAACCUAGAGCUGCAUACCCGGAAUAUCUCCGCUAUGUCCGCCGCCUCACCACCUCGAUGGAAGACAACGUCAUCUCAGAGAGCGUAUGCCGCUAUUACGAUGACAAGGGCGAGAGCUACGUGGUCGCAUUGUUUGCCAAUCAUUGAAUAUACAAUAAAAUAAAAUCUGCGUUUUCUUUUAAAUGAUUCAAUUUUUGGGUUUAAGACAAUUGUUCGUUAUAAAAGACGGAACAAUUUUACCUGCUCGAACAUUAUGAUCGGAUUCUGUGCUUUCAACAAUGCCUUAUUGUAAGCCAUAUAGUCCAGAUAACCUAUUGAAAGGUUGUAUGGUAAACUGUAUUAUGGUCAGUUCUUUCUGUGAUUUUUCCUUUUAAUUUUAAUUUCCAAUUCCAUAUUCAGUAGCCAUUCAUCGGCAACCGUCGUUAAAUCUGCAAAAAAUCGGCUAUGUUCGAAAACCUAUUCAGCUAUUGUUCUUGUUUGAAUAUGCCACCGUUCAACCAUGUUCUACUGCAAAUUAGUUUACAUAAAAUCUACGGAAAUGUUUUAGGACUCAACCAGUGUUAAAAUACGCUGCUUUAAUGACUACUGCUAAGAAACACUGCUAGGAACAGAAACAAAAAUACAAAUGAAGUAUCAAACAUAUCAAAAAUCUGAAAAAGUUAUACCUAUUUACA